This 74-nucleotide transfer RNA is filed under the name Virgisporangium ochraceum. Its description in RNAcentral is "tRNA-Phe". It matches the Rfam family "tRNA". Rfam says of the family: Transfer RNA (tRNA) molecules are approximately 80 nucleotides in length. Lineage: Bacteria; Bacillati; Actinomycetota; Actinomycetes; Micromonosporales; Micromonosporaceae. The record is from RNAcentral.
GCCUGCCAAGCUCCCGUGGACGAGCGCCGGUGUGAAGCUCCGGAGGAUCCGGGUUCGACUCCCGGGGUAGGCAC